Molecule: ribosomal RNA, 91 nt
Filed under: Bacillus aquiflavi
Lineage: Bacteria; Bacillati; Bacillota; Bacilli; Caryophanales; Bacillaceae
Source: RNAcentral
CACCCGUUCCCAUUCCGAACACGGAAGUUAAGCUUCUCAGCGCCAAUGGUAGUAGAGGGCAUCCCUCUGCGAGAGUAGGACGUUGCCGGGC